RNAcentral lists this non-coding RNA (21 nucleotides) under Arabidopsis thaliana (thale cress). The record is from RNAcentral. Lineage: Eukaryota; Viridiplantae; Streptophyta; Magnoliopsida; Brassicales; Brassicaceae.
UCAAGGUGAAAUUAUUACGGA